This 23-nucleotide unclassified non-coding RNA is filed under the name Mus musculus (house mouse). RNAcentral describes it as "oocyte_clustered_small_RNA6004". The record is from RNAcentral. Lineage: Eukaryota; Metazoa; Chordata; Mammalia; Rodentia; Muridae.
UGGUGGCCAUUUCAUAGUACUGG